CCUACGGGAGGCAGCAGUGGGGAAUAUUGCACAAUGGGGGAAACCCUGAUGCAGCGACGCCGCGUGAGUGAAGAAGUAUCUCGGUACGUAAAGCUCUAUUAGUAGGGAAGAAAAUGACGGUACCUGACUAAUAAGCCCCGGCUAACUACGUGCCAGCAGCCGCGGUAAUACGCAGGGGGCAAGCGUUAUCCGGAUUUACUGGGUGUAAAGGGAGCGUAGACGGCAGCACAAGUCUGGAGUGAAAUCCCGGGGCUUAACCCCGGAACUGCUUUGGAAACUGUGCGGCUGGAGUGCAGGAGGGGUGAGCGGAAUUCCUGGUGUAGCGGUGAAAUGCGUAGAUAUUAGGAGGAACACCGGUGGCGAAGGCGGCUUACUGGACUGUAACUGACGUUGAGGCUCGAAAGCGUGGGGAGCAAACAGGAUUAGAUACCCUUGUAGUC
Molecule: ribosomal RNA, 440 nt
Filed under: uncultured bacterium
Lineage: Bacteria
Description: partial 16S ribosomal RNA
Rfam family: Bacterial small subunit ribosomal RNA
Source: RNAcentral